Molecule: long non-coding RNA, 2163 nt
Filed under: Canis lupus familiaris (dog)
Lineage: Eukaryota; Metazoa; Chordata; Mammalia; Carnivora; Canidae
Description: lncRNA (ENSCAFG00030018563.1)
Source: RNAcentral
AUGCCUGUGUUUAUGAUAAUCACGCUUGUUUUUCAGAUUUCGAAAGGAGGUUCUUCCCAGUCUGUGAAGCUUUAUUGCCAACCGCUGUCCUUCUUCAUUUGCAACAAUGUAAAUAUCCGAUUCUUUGCCAACACCCACCUGGUUUCCAGCGGACUCAACUACCUGUCUAGAAGAAAGUGUUUUCAAAGCUGGGUAAUCAUAGCCUGCAUUUGUCAACCGGUAGCCCUGGACAGUUUUGGUGCGCUCCCAAGCUAUGAGUUUAUGUUUCACUAAUUCUGUUAAAACUUUAUUACAGCCACCAUGUUUAAGGCUGGCUAUAGAAGCAACUAAACUGCAGGGAACUAUUUCAUGGUUCCUCACGCCCAUUUCAACCGCGGUCAGGACCCUGAAGUCAUCCCAGCUCAGGUAACGUAACUUGGCCACGUUCACCUUCCCGGUGGCGCCCGAAGACCAAGCCAGGAGCCUCCCCCUCUGCAGCCGCAGACUCGCCUCUGCGGGCGCCUCCUUGUAUGUUUACUUUGGAACUAGGACCAGAAUCGCUACAAGUUUCCUGUGUUUCCACUUGAGAAAACUUUUCCUUCCAGAGGGGAAGUGACUAGGUACUUUAGGGAUCUUUUGUGUUUGUGGCCUUACAUAUCAGUGGAGGAUUUUUUAAACACAUUCUAGAAGAUGAAUUAAUUACAGAAACUCAUGAUUUGUUCUCACUAUAUAGGUAUUUACCUUUAAAAAUAAGAAAAAGGAAUAGAAAUAAGUGUUGCAUGAGCAAUUAUCAAAAAUGUAUUAAUAACACUUGUAUAAAGCAUUUUUAGCUAGGGAACUCAAUAUAGAAUUAUAUAUAAAUCCAGAUUUACACAUUACUCUUAGCCAAGAGUAAUCUGUGAAGUGAUGAGACUUGUCUGAUAAAUAGCUUUAUCUAUUUUCCCUGAUUUUACCAUGUGUGGAAUGCAAGUAAGCAUCAGAAUUGCUCGAUUUUAUUUUAUUGCAUCUGAUGUAAGACUUGAUUUUUUCCCCCUAAAGAUUUAUUUAUUUAUUUUAAAGAGAGAGAGCAUGAACAGGAGGUAUAAAGGGAGAGGGAGAGAGAAUUGCAAGUAGACUCCAUGCUGAUCUUGGAGUCUGAUGUGGGGCUUGAUCCCAGGUUGCUGAGAUCAUGAUCUGAGCUGAAACCAAGAGUCAGAUCCUUAACCUAACUGUGCCACCCCAGCACUCCAAGACUUGGCUUUUCUCAUGGAAAAUCCUAGUUAAUAAAUAUCCCUGAAUUUUUUCACAUUGGUUAUGAGUCAGAUAAGUUAUCAUUAUUUCCACAAAAUAUUUCAGGUUAUGAAGAAUGCAAAUGUUUUCAGUUAAGAUUGAAUGACAACAAAUGAUGACUUUAUUGUACGUUUUGGCAAUUGUUUGGACUUAGCUACCCCACUUGCGUUGUCUUUUGUAAUUCAUUCAUAUUAUCUUUUUGAUGACCUUUUAAUAUCACUAGUGAUUGUGCUACUUUGUAUUGUCAAUUUAAAUGACUUAAAGACUUUAGGAUUAAUAUUUAGCAGGGUAAAUUUAUGAGAAAUCUUUGGUUUUCUACAAAAUUUUUAAAGAAACUAAAAUUCAUAGAGCAAAGGGUGUAGAGUUACCUAGUAUGGUUUUGACUUAUUUUUUCUAAGGCUGGAAUUGAGAAGAUAAGGUCAAUGUGGUAUAUAGCUAUUUUUUUAAUAUGAUGAUUAAGUAAAUUAUAUUUUAAAGUCAAGGUUGAAAGCUAAUCAUGAUAUUGUUAUGUAGCUAUAUGUUUAAGAUCAUCUGCACAUAUUACUGUAUAUUUUCAAAUUAAGAAACAAAAUAAAUGCAUGUAUAAUAAAGAUGAGGGACCUGGUAACUUAAAAUUGGCCUUAGAAUAUUGAGUCUGCUGUAAACAAGAACUAUUCUCUACCUUACUGUAAUCCAUCCAGAGACUGGGAAUUCUUACUUUGUCAGGUACUCUAAGCCCUUUGGCUAACUUCUGUCAUGCUACUGAAUUGUUAAAACAAAGAAUAAAAAUUCAUCACAUCUGAAGCUAUUAAGUCUCUUAUUAAUUGUCCCCUAAUUAAUUAAUAUUAUUAGUUUUCUCUGUUUUUAAUUUUUAAAAAGAUUUUAUAUACUUAUUUUAGAGAGAGAGAGAGAGAAAGAGUGGUGGAGGAGCAGAGG